GCGGGAAAAGCUCAAAUUUAAAAUCUGGUAGCUUUGGUUACCCGAGUUGUAUUCUAGAGAGGUGUUUUCCGCGUUGGACCGUGUACAAGUCUCUUGGAACAGAGCGUCAUAGAGGGUGAGAAUCCCGUCUUUGACACGGACUACCAGUGCUUUGUGAUACACUUUCAAAGAGUCGAGUUGUUUGGGAAUGCAGCUCAAAAUGGGUGGUAAAUUCCAUCUAAAGCUAAAUAUUGGCGAGAGACCGAUAGCGAACAAGUACCGUGAGGGAAAGAUGAAAAGCACUUUGGAAAGAGAGUUAAACAGUACGUGAAAUUGCUGAAAGGGAAACGCUUGAAGUCAGUCGCGUUAUCUAGAACUCAGCCUUUCUUCCCUUAGAUGGUGCAUUUUCUAGUUUAACGGGCCAGCAUCAGUUUCGACUGCAGGAAAAAGAUCAGAGAAAUGUGGCAACCUCGGUUGUGUUAUAGUCUCUGGUUGCAUACUGUGAUUGGGACUGAGGUAUUCAGCACGCGCAAGCUGUGCUUAGGAUGCUGGCGUAAUGGCUUUAAACGACCCGUCUUGAAACACGGACCAAGGAGUCUAACAAACCUGCGAGUAUUUGGGUGGUAAACCCGAGUGCGCAAUGAAAGUGAAAGUUGGGAUCUCUGUCGCGGAGAGCACCGACGCCCGGACCAGACCUUUUGUGACGGAUCUGCGGUAGAGCAUGUUUGUUGGGACCCGAAAGAUGGUGAACUAUGCCUGAAUAGGGUGAAGCCAGAGGAAACUCUGGUGGAGGCUCGUAGCGAUUCUGACGUGCAAAUCGAUCGUCAAAUUUGGGUAUAGGGGCGAAAGACUAAUCGAACCAUCUAGUAGCUGGUUCCUGCCGA
Molecule: ribosomal RNA, 863 nt
Filed under: Efibula intertexta
Lineage: Eukaryota; Fungi; Basidiomycota; Agaricomycetes; Polyporales; Irpicaceae
Description: Phanerochaete intertexta partial large subunit ribosomal RNA
Rfam family: Eukaryotic large subunit ribosomal RNA
Source: RNAcentral